AAUAUUGCACAAAGGAGGGAACUCAGACGCAGCAACGCCUCGCGCGUGAAGAAGGUUUUAGGACCGUACAACUCGGUCAUUGGGGAAAAAUAAAAGACGGUAUACAAGGAGGAAGCCCCGGCUAACUACGCGCCAGCAGCCGCGGUAAUACGUAGGGGGCGCGCGUUGUCCGGAAUUACUGGGCGUAAAGGGUACGUAGGCGGCUAUAUAAGUCAGGUGUGAGAUACCAGUGCUUAACACUGGAAUUGCAUUUGAAACUGUGUAGCUUGAGUGCAGGAGAGGAAAGUGGAAUUCCUAGUGUAGCGGUGAAAUGCGUAGAGAUUAGGAGGAACACCAGUGGCGAAGGCGACUUUCUGGACUGUAACUGGCGCUGAGGUACGAAAGCGUGGGUAGCGAACA
Molecule: ribosomal RNA, 399 nt
Filed under: uncultured bacterium
Lineage: Bacteria
Description: partial 16S ribosomal RNA
Rfam family: Bacterial small subunit ribosomal RNA
Source: RNAcentral